Molecule: ribosomal RNA, 253 nt
Filed under: uncultured bacterium
Lineage: Bacteria
Description: partial 16S ribosomal RNA
Rfam family: Bacterial small subunit ribosomal RNA
Source: RNAcentral
UACGGGGGGGGCAAGCGUUGUUCGGAAUUACUGGGCGUAAAGGGCUCGUAGGCGGCCAACUAAGUCCGACGUGAAAUCCCCAGGCUUAACCUGGGAACUGCGUCGGAUACUGGAUGGCUUGAAUCCGGGAGAGGGAUGCGGAAUUCCAGGUGUAGCGGUGAAAUGCGUAGAUAUCUGGAGGAACACCGGUGGCGAAGGCGGGUCUCUGGGCCAUUACUGACGCUGAGGAGCGAAAGCGUGGGGAGCGAACAGG